AAGAAAUAUUAAGAUAGUAUAUGUCCUAAGAUUAAGAAAACUAUACGAUUAAAAACGAUGAGAGAAACCGACCGUCCUUAUAACAAGUGGCAAAGGGCUUGGUGGUUGGUACCCGAGACCCAAGUUCGAAUCCUAGUUGAUUCACAUUUCCAGCUAAGUUUAUUUCUAAAUGAAAUAAACGAAGCGGGUAGCGUGCUAUCUAUCUCUCAAAAAAAAAAAAAAAAA
Molecule: long non-coding RNA, 225 nt
Filed under: Ananas comosus (pineapple)
Lineage: Eukaryota; Viridiplantae; Streptophyta; Magnoliopsida; Poales; Bromeliaceae
Description: long non-coding RNA (ACOM_LNC028209)
Source: RNAcentral